CUGUGUUGUGCAACUGAGGUGAAUAUGCAUGAUUUGAUAUGAUUGAGGCAUUUCUUGUUUUAGCUACUUGGCCAAAUAAACUUACCUUAACAUUAAUCCAUUGGAAACCCCUUUGAGCCUUAAGACUAUUUUUCUUGUUUCCAGAAAUUGCCAAAUGAAAAAAAUGAAGAAAAAUCAUAUGUUCCUCACCUUGGGAAAGAAGAAUGAGUAAUGGAUCGUGUUAUAAGUAAGUAAUGAAUAAGUGUGUGGGUAAGUGUCUCACCACAAAAUAAAAGGAAGGCAAAAAGGAAGAUGAAAAGUUGAAGUUUUGAAAAAAAAAGUGAUGAAAAAAAAAGAAGGUGAGGAAAAAAAAAAGAAAAGAAAAGAAAAAAAAAAAGAGAUAAAAAAAAAAAUCUUCCUAAAAAGAGCAAGAAAUAAGGUUGUUUUUGAAAUAAAGUGUCAUUACUCUUUCUAUAUCAAUUUCAAAAACCCAUCAAUUCCAAAAAAAAAAAAUUCUUACCUUUGCCUUGGCCUCAAUAUAACCUUUAAGAAGUCCUCAUGAUCAAGAAUUGCAUGUUUUCUGAAGUAUGUGAAUGUUAGAGUCUUGUUAAAUACCAAGGGUGUUUAUUUACAUGGGUAUUUUGAGUGUAAACACAAGCCAAAAACACUUGAGAGAUUUGGAGAGAAAUAGAUACAUUUUGACUUAAGUGUUAUCUUUCAUAUUUGAUUUUCUUGGGAAUUCAAAAAGUUUAACUCAUGUGCUAAGAAUUAAGUGAUUUCGAUUGCAUGUCCAUGACAAAGUGAUGAUUAUAUGAUUGAUCUAUGUCCAGGGAUGUUCAUUCUUUUGAUCCAAAUGCAAAUAUGGAAUAAAAUGGCCCAGAACAAAGUUUUGAAAUUAAUGAAUUUUUCCCAGGANNNNNNNNNNNNNNNNNNNNNNNNNNNNNNNNNNNNNNNNNNNNNNNNNNNNNNNNNNNNNNNNNNNNNNNNNNNNNNNNNNNNNNNNNNNNNNNNNNNNNNNNNNNNNNNNNNNNNNNNNNNNNNNNNNNNNNNNNNNNNNNNNNNNNNNNNNNNNNNNNNNNNNNNNNNNNNNNNNNNNNNNNNNNNNNNNNNNNNNNNNNNNNNNNNNNNNNNNNNNNNNNNNNNNNNNNNNNNNNNNNNNNNNNNNNNNNNNNNNNNNNNNNNNNNNNNNNNNNNNNNNNNNNNNNNNNNNNNNNNNNNNNNNNNNNNNNNNNNNNNNNNNNNNNNNNNNNNNNNNNNNNNNNNNNNNNNNNNNNNNNNNNNNNNNNNNNNNNNNNNNNNNNNNNNNNNNNNNNNNNNNNNNNNNNNNNNNNNNNNNNNNNNNNNNNNNNNNNNNNNNNNNNNNNNNNNNNNNNNNNNNNNNNNNNNNNNNNNNNNNNNNNNNNNNNNNNNNNNNNNNNNNNNNNNNNNNNNNNNNNNNNNNNNNNNNNNNNNNNNNNNNNNNNNNNNNNNNNNNNNNNNNNNNNNNNNNNNNNNNNNNNNNNNNNNNNNNNNNNNNNNNNNNNNNNNNNNNNNNNNNNNNNNNNNNNNNNNNNNNNNNNNNNNNNNNNNNNNNNNNNNNNNNNNNNNNNNNNNNNNNNNNNNNNNNNNNNNNNNNNNNNNNNNNNNNNNNNNNNNNNNNNNNNNNNNNNNNNNNNNNNNNNNNNNNNNNNNNNNNNNNNNNNNNNNNNNNNNNNNNNNNNNNNNNNNNNNNNNNNNNNNNNNNNNNNNNNNNNNNNNNNNNNNNNNNNNNNNNNNNNNNNNNNNNNNNNNNNNNNNNNNNNNNNNNNNNNNNNNNNNNNNNNNNNNNNNNNNNNNNNNNNNNNNNNNNNNNNNNNNNNNNNNNNNNNNNNNNNNNNNNNNNNNNNNNNNNNNNNNNNNNNNNNNNNNNNNNNNNNNNNNNNNNNNNNNNNNNNNNNNNNNNNNNNNNNNNNNNNNNNNNNNNNNNNNNNNAGAAUGUACUUUGGUUGAAUUUAUUGUGAAUAAUCUAGAAAGGUCUUGCAUUUGAUUGAGAAUGUACUUUGAUUAACUGCAUGACCGCCCUCAAAUUAAUUAAGAAUGUACUUUAAUUAAUUUGAAACUUAAACAAUAAUCAAUUGAACAAUGAUCUGUGAAUAACCGAUGAUGAAUCUAUUUUGGAAAAGCAUUGGAAUUAGCCUGUUUCUUCAUAAUUGUUUUUAAGUUUUCUAUUUGUUUUACAACAACCUUUAAACAUCCUCACUUUUGUUCUUAAGCAUUGCACAGCAUUCAUAAGUUUCAGAUAUUUGAAAGAAAUUCCGUGUUCAUUGGGAGACGACUUAGGGUUACUUUAGCCCUAUCUAUUUUCUUGAAUACUACUAGGCAAUACUGAAGUUGCCUUGAAAAGUAGUAUUAAUUUGAUAGCUUCAACGACAGCUUAUCAACAGUCAACAUAGUAGCUCUCAGUCAUCCAAAAUCAACACACAUUUAAUACAGUUGACCAAGUCAUCAAUGCGUAACUAACUUUUAAAAAUAUAGCCGUUGGAGCGCAAAAGCAUAACAGUCGAAUGUAAACUAGACAAAGUUGAAUGUGAACCAGACAAAGUCGACUGACACAUGUAAAAAGACUUUGAAAUUCUUUUCAACUCAAAACAUCACUUAGUACCGAUUUUCAAAACCGGUACAAAGGUUUUAGCAUAGUCGAAUCCAUUAGUAAUGUAGUCGACUGUACUAUAACUUUGUCACACAGUUAUAACAUUCAUGAAAGUGCUUGUGGUUUUUCACUUUAAAAAUUGUGUAGUAAAACAUAUGUAAUAAAGCAUUUCACAUUGCACAUAAUCAUGUAAGCAUGUUCCACAAAUAUAUCAAACAAUCAACAUAGGAACAUACAACAUAGUACAUCAAACAUGUUCAGCAGAUAUAACAAUCAGUACAACAUAAGAACAUGUAAUGCAACAACAUAUGUAUUGUUAUUAAGCAAAAGUGUUGUCAUCAUAAAAAACUAGAUUGAUAUAGAGUUUGUGUUUUCAAUAAUCUCAACAGUUCCAUUUCAUGUAUAUAAGAAUUAUUCUUUAUGCAUUAAUGUCAACGUCCCUCACUUAAUCACUUAAACCCGAUCCCUCAAUAAAUUAGCAUGUCCCUAAUUCUCAGUCGAAUAGCCUACUAAUACAGUCAACUGUAUUAAAACAGUUAUAACAUACAGUCAACAAAAAUGCUCCUCAGUCAACUAAAUCAAUGCACAUUUAAGACAGUUGACCCAGUCAGUCAAUACAUUCAUUGGAGCAAGUAGGCAUAGCAGAAUUCCAAAUAUAACAGCAAUACAGUCGAAUAAAUGUUCCACACUGUCGACUAACACAGGAAAAAAUACUUUAAAAUUCUUUUCAACUCAAAAUCUCAUCAAGCAUAGGUUCACAAAAUCUGUACAAAGAUUUUAGCAUAGUCAAAUCCAUUACCAGUGUAUUCGACUAAACUAGACCUUUGUCACAACAAAUAUAAGUUCAUAAAAGUGCUUGUGAUCUUUUCUUCAAAAAUGUGCAAAAGUAAUCAAAAUCAUUUUAUCACUCGUUUCAAUACAAGCAUGUUCCAUACAUAUAGCACAUAGUCAAUCAUAGGAACACACAUUGCAAAUCAAACAAAACAUGUUCAACAAAAGCAUUGUUCAAUCCAGUUUGGUAUAUCAGUUGAACAUGUAAACCUGGAACAUAUGUAUUGUUAUUGAGCAGUGUGUUGUCAUCAUCAAAAACCAGUUUGAUAUAGAGUUUGUGUUGUCAACAAUCUCAACACUUCUCUGCCAGGGAUGCAAAACCUAGAGCCCUAGGAUCCUUUAAAUAGUGUUAGAGGCCUGCCAAAAGAGGGUCUGGUCCAAAAGAGUCAAAACAGAGCAGAAAUAGGGCCCGACUCACGAAAGUUCUCGCCCAAGCGUCCAAGGAGGUCACCCGGGCGAGAAGCGAGCCUCAUGUAUGGCCCGGGCUACGAUUAUGGUCGCCCAAGCUACGAGGCCUCGUCGCCUAGGCGACAAGGAUUCUCGCUCGGGUGACGGACGUCAAUACAGCUCGCUUGAGCCUCGCUUUUGGUCGCCCAUGCUUCGUCUUUUCCCUCCUUCUAGUGCCUUUUUGAGCCCUUCUAAGCUCCAUCUUCUUAGUUUUUCAUCUCUUCUUCCAGUAUUACUUCAAUCUGUGUCAAAACAAGGGGAAUUAGUCAUAAAACCAUUGAAAUCAACCUCAACUCUCUUAUUCACACAAUUUAUUGAAAAGGUAUGAGUCCAAGCAAGUUUCUAAGUGAAAAAGGGUGUUUUUAGUAUCAAAAUUACAUCACAAAUAACGGUGUUUUAAACCGUUAUCACACUUAGUGACUUAAAAACAUUAUUUUUAUAUUAAUUGGUUAUGUCAUUUUGGAUAGUUGUUUAACAUUAUUUAUUGGGUAGCAUCUACUGAAGGAUGCUAAAAAGGUUAAGUAUCUACUGAAGGCUACAGGAAGGUACACCUACUGAUGGGUGUUGUAAGAAUUACACUUACUGAUGAGUGCUAUAAAGGUUUGGGUCAAGCUCAUGACGUUAAACAAGCGCUACCUGAGAGGCAACCCAAUUGAUUGAUUUACUUUUGUUGCAUGUUUUAUUGUUGUUCUAGUUGCAUUUAGGGCUUAAUUGUUCCAUAAGUGAGUAAAAUGAGUGGGAAUUGCACGAAAAUUAAAAUUUGAAAGUUGAAAUUGAGGGUUACAAGGUCCAAGACGCUUAAAGUAAAGCAAAAAGGGGGAAAAGCCAACUCGCGCCCACCUCCCGACGCUGACUCACCGCCCGACGGUGGCAUCCUAGAGGGCUUAAGUGAUUUUAAGAUCGGGCUCAGCUUUCUUGGCCCAUUGCACAAUUUUAUUACCCCUUAGGGUUCGCCCAAGCGUCCACAAUUAGCCCCCUACUCUCUCUUUCACUUUCAAACACUCUUCUAACUUCUCCCAUCAUCCCACUUCUAGAAAACCUAUUUUCCAUCACUUUUGCACCAUUCCACCAUCAAAGUUUGUGGUAUUUUAGAGAGCACUACAUUUGGGCUUCAUCCAUCAUCAAUUUACAAGCAAUUUGCACACAUUCAAGGUCUCUCCAUCCAAGUAAGGCAUACAUUUUUCAUUUUAGGGUUUCUAAAUCAUGAAUUUGAUGAAAAUGUGUGUAAAAGCAUGAAAUUUUAGGGUUGUUGAUUUCUAUGCAUGAUUUGUUGAAAUAGAAACUAUUUGAACCGAUUAAAAUGUGUGAUUAAGGACUGGAACUGUGAAAUUUGCAAUUGAGUGGAGAUUAAAAGUGUUUAGGAGGAAUUUUGAGAAAUUACCGUCGUCACCGCUGGGCGGUGGCCUGGCAGAUUAUGCUUUGCUUGUUCUUUUUUUAGAUGCAGGUGGCGCUAAUGGGUCCUGUUUAGCCUUGAGCGUUGAUCAGUGAUGUGUUUGGAUGUGAUUGAUGUUUUGCUAAUGCUUAAUGUGUUUUGCUUUGGUCUUGUGAAUUAUGUUUGAUGCAGGAAUGGCUUCCUCAUCAAGAAAGAGGGUUAAGACCAUAGGAAACAAGAGGAAAGAACCAUAUAGGUUCUAUUCCGACAGGUUUCGAACUAGGAGACAUCAGCUACAUCAUCGUCGUAUCCAGGAGAGAUGUUUAUUAAUGGAGAGAAAGGCAGUUUGGAUACCAGACUUUGCUCCUCAUUUUGGACAGGAGCUUGAGAGCAAGAAUUGGGAGAAAUUGGCUACAUACCCUACUCCUGCAAACAUAGCAGUGGUAAAGGAGUUCUACACAAAUGCCAAACCAUUGGAUGAUUCUCACUUCAUGGAUUAUAUGAGCUAUGUGCGUCGUAAAGUUAUUAGUUAUGCUCCUAAAACGAUUAAUAGGUUUCCGAACACUGAAUGGGUAGGUGAACAGUGCCAGUAUUAGUUGAAUGUUCAAAAAGGCACUGACUUUGAUGAUAUGGAGAGAGUACUCUGUGUGCCUGGAGGGCACUUUUACAAGAACCCAAGUGGACCUACAAUUCAUAUAAAAAGGACUAACUUGAUACCACUGGCAUAGUAUUGGAUGACAUUCACUCAUGCCAAUGUGACACCAUGCUCUCAUGUUUCAAACAUCACUGUCAACAGGGCUAUGUUUAUUUACUGUGUGCUAAAAGGAAUGAAUAUCAAUAUUGGCCAGGUGAUUGCAAAUGAGAUCAAGAGCUGUGCAGUCACUACUAACAACAAAGCACCCUUGGGACAUCCCUCAUUGAUCACACACCUAUGCCAUGCAGCUGGGGUGCAUACAUUUACUCCACCAUUUGAGCAACUCGGGGAGGCCAUUAAUGAGGCCUAUUACAGGCAGUUUCGUGGAGAGUUGAGGCAGCAACUCAACCAGCGCCUCAGAGACAGUCUGAGAGGAGAGUUCCACUACCACAGGCUUAAGGAGAUGCACUAGCUCAUGAUGCAGAGCCAUUUCAGAUGAGAGACAUGUAUAUGUCUCUUAUGGAGUCCAGAUUUGAGUCUAUUCAAAGAGGAUAAAUUGCUACUGCUGAGAUGAUCAUAGCCAUGUACAACACACCUCUUACACAAAGGUGGACUAUGGACGAGUUCAAUAACGUGGUGGCUUGGCCAGAAAAGGCGUAGGGUAGUAGAUCUGGAGCAGCUGAAGCUCCAACCAUGGAUGAGGAUGCUGAGGAAGACGACAGUGAUGAUGAUUUUGAGGAUGCUGAGGAUGAAGAGGAGGAGUCCGAUGAUAGCAUGGUUGAGGAACUUACAUAGCAUCUACUGAUGGAUGCUAUCUACAAUAGAACAUGGUUUUUCUUAUCUUUUGUUUUGUUUUAGUAGUAUAGGAUUUGCUUCUGUGUAGUAGUGCAAGAUUUGCUUCUGUUGAGUAGUAUAGGGUUAAUGUAUUUGGUCUAAAACUUUUCUUAUAUGAUGGUUUGAUUGUUUGAUGUUGCAUGAGAUAAGUUACUUGAUGAUGCUUGUUAUUGAAUGAUGCUAAGCCGGGGAGCUAAAAACUUGUUAAGACUCCGACAAGUGUACCGAAUCAUAUCAAGUAAUAUAAAUGGUAAGACCAAAUAUCAUUUUCCCUAAAGAUUCAUUGGCCUAAACAGUUAAGUGAUUUGUUGAUUAUUUAAGACUUGAGAACGAAAAUCAUUGUGUUUAUAAUGCCAAAAAGUAAAUAUGAAGGCAAAUGUUGAUCAAUUGACCAAAAGAAUGCGCAGGUGAAUGAUGUAUAAAAUAUGGAAUGAUUAUGUUGUUGGGGUUUUCGACUAAUCCUAUCCAUUCUCAUGUAUUUAGCGAUAUUAUGCUUGUUUUGCAUUGUUUUGUAGCAUUUUUGAGAAAGUGAAGAAUGGAGUUGAAGAUAAAGGUCUUAGACUCAAGAAAAGGAAAGAAAGGUUGAAGAUCAAACGGUUGCAGUGCAGGAAAGUCAACCAGAAUGCAGAAAAGUCAACCAGUCAACCAGAAAAGUCAACCAGUCAACCAGAAAAGUCAACCAGUCAACCAGAAAAGUCAACCAGAAAAGUCAACCCGUCAACCAGGAAAAGUUGACCAAACCGCCAGGCGGUUGACCGGAGCUCCGGGAGGUUGGUUUUGGUGCCGGGCGGUUGUGCAGCUUGAGGCAAACCGCCGGGCGGCCAUUUGUGGCGCCGGGCGGUUCUACGAUGGGCUUGGUCUUGAAUUUUGUUACUUUUCUUGGUUAUAAAUAGCCCUAGUGCGAGUUUAGAUGUAUUCUUUUGACAGGGGAGAACGACCAGACCUAAUUUUGCUCUCUGGAGAGGAUCUCUUGGAUGCUUAGGCUCCUUUUCAUCUUUUCUAGGGUUUGCUCUUCCAUUCUUCUUCCAUUUCUCAUCUAGUCUCACCAUGUCUAUGGUGAACUAAACCCUAUUGUUGUUGGGGGAAACAAUGUAAUCUUUUGAUACUCUCUUGUAUUGAAACUCUUGAUUAUUUAUAUGGUCUCCGUAUGUUUUGAUUGAUAAUUGUUGGGUUAUCAUCUGUGCUUAAGGCCUUUAUUGUUUAACUCAGUCGGCAACUGAUGUUUGUCUUUAUUGAUAUGGGGACGUACAAUAAUGACAUGAACUGGUGAGUAAUCUCUUGAUUUUGCAAUACCACCUAAGGAUAGUUGAUAGGACGAUCAAUUGCGCUAACUUCUGUUUAUAAUGCGGUAGUAAUUGCUAGGGGAGGCUAGGGAUAGCAAACCAGUAGUUAAUAUUAGGCUCUUUUCACAGAAGGAUCAGGUUAAGGGGAGGCUAAGAAAGUCGCAUAACAAUUAAUUAAUCAAACUAAUAUUCAAGAGGAGUAGAUAAGAGAGGGCAGAUUAGAUGAAAUUGUAAACCCCCAACAACAUCCAUUCAUCCAUUGUUUUCUUUUGUCAAUUGAAUCAACUCUAUUUUGCAUGUUAAUAUUUUUGUUCUCAAAUCCAAUUUAUUAAUUUUUAUUUGCAAGUCUUAUUAUUUUAAUUCACACGAACGAGAAAACCAUUCGAGUCUCUUAGGAAAACGAUACUUGGUCUUACCAUUUAUAUUACUUGUACGAUUUGGUACACUUGUCAAUCCGUCAACAAAGAUAGACCCUCUAGGUGACUAAAUCCUUAUAUAGUUUAUAAAAAUAACAGAAAACUGGCCUAGGCCCACGCUGAUGGCUCUUAAUGCUAAAAUCACGCUCACCGAUAAGUGUGGCACUCAAAAUAAUGCUCAACGGUGGCGCCCAGGCGAAAGACAAAUAACUCAUCAGCAAGAUGAUAGCGGUUUAAAACACCGUUAUUUUUACUUAGAAACUUGCUUACACUUAUUCUUUUUGAAUAAAUUGUGUGAAUAAGAGAGUUGAGGUUGAUUUCAAUGAUUUUAUGACUAGUUCCCCAUGUUUUGACAGAGAUUGAAGAAAUACUAGAAGAGGAGAUGAAAGAACAAGAAAAGGGAGCUCAAAAGGAGUCAAAAAGGCACCAGAAGGAGGGAAAACACGCAGCCCGGGCGUCUAGAAGCGUAGCCUAAGCGACCAGAAUCGACGUCCGCCGCCCGAGCAGUGGCCCUCGACGCCCAGGCGGUGCUGCUUCGUAGCCUGGGCGUCCAAAUCUGAUGCCCAGGCCCAACAUGGCUCUCAAUUCUCGCCUGGGCGGUCCCUCUACAACGCUUAAGCGUGAAUUCACUUGGAUCGGACCUUGUUUCAACUCUGUUUUGAUUUUUUCGCACCAGGCUUCAUUCUGACACGCCUCUAACACUAUUUAAAGGACCCUGGGGCUCUAGGUUUUGCAUCCCUGGUAGAGAAGAGCAUAACAAUACAAUCUUAGCCAAUUCUUAGUCUUUCAUUCUCUUUCUUUCUUCCAUUGUUCAUAGAGUUCCCCCAUGUCUGUGGGGAACUAAUUUCUAUUUGUUGUUGGGGAAUGAUGUAACCUUGUAAACUCUCAUGUAUUUGAAUUGAUUCUUAAUUUCAUAUGCUUUUUCAUUAAUUUUUAGAGUAAUUCAUCUGUUUUAUUCUCGCUUAUACAAUAAAAUUAUCUAUGAAUUGCAUAAGUGUUGGGAGUUUCCUUUCAAUUCAGGUUCUUGUUGAAUUACUUCUAAGGGUUAUAUUUUUCAGGGAUGAGGGUAUGAGUCUUAGUCGUCUUAACCUCUUGAUCUUCACAUCUUUUUACCAGGAAUGUUAGGAAUUGUAUGAACUGGUAAUUAGGGACAAGCUUAUUUACUGAGGGAUCGGGUUUAAGUGAUUUACUGAGGGACGUUAGCAUUAAUGCAUAAAGAAGAAUUCUUAUAUACAUGAGAGGGAACGUGGGGAAAUCUAACCCCAACAACAUAUCCAUCUCAUAUAAAUCAACCUUCGUUCAUCUUUGUUCUCUUUUGCCAUUAAUCAAUUGCACUUUAUUUUCUUUUUUAUUUUUGCACUCCAAAUCCAUGAUUUCUUUUAUUUUAAGUCUUGAUUACAAGAUUGGCGCUGAGCGGUAGAAAUGUUUCUCAGUGGUGAGUGCGACACUUGGAUUUGGCCCUCAGCGAUGGCACUCAGGCGUCAAACAGUGAUCUCCAUAGCGAUCUUGGCGCUUAGCGGUAAAGUGGUGCUCAACGCUAGCUGCGGUUCUUGUUUUGUGCACUUUUCCUACUUCUCCUAAGUCCAACUCCUUGCUACUUCAACUUCUUUCAUCUAAUUCAUAUUAAUUCCUGCCAAAACAAGGAAAACCAAGCAUAAAACCAAUAAUACCACCUUCAACUCCUAUUACCCUCACUCUUCCCUCUAUGAUUAUUACCUUCACUUCUCCCCCUGUGAUUAUUACCCCCACUUCUCCCCUGACCCUACUUCUAGACCUUCCUCAUCUUGUAUACCGCCUUCUAAUCCAGAUUCAACUGGUGAUGUGGAUGGUGUUGACGUGCCCCUCCAUGAUCAACCAUGGAUUGAGCCAUAUGCUAAAGGGUAAGAUUUUAGUCCCUUUUUUCACCAUUUUGAUGUUUAAAGAUUGCCUUAAUUCAAAUGACUUUUAUUUAUUUAUAUGCAGGUUUAUUUCAUCUAGGGUUGCUUCCCAGGCGAUCACACAAUCAAUUAAGCAAUAAUAUUUGAGUCCAUGGCCUAUUUGGGGAGCAAUACCUUUAGAUGAUAGAAAGUCAUUCUGGAACAUUUUAAGGUGAACAACCCAUUAAACUAAUUGUCAUUCUUAUUUUAGUAUGUUCAUUAAUCAAUGUUUGUUUUGUUUAUUGUUACAAAUGAAGGUGCAGUGGAAACCUGAACAUGAAACUUAAAUACAAAGAAAUUUUCACAUGAAAGCAUCUCAUCGGCUGUCAGAAAUGUUUAGAAAUGCCCGCAAUGCAAGGGAGCGCCCUUACUGGUUGAGCGAGCACAUUUGGAACUCUUUACUCACUCAUGGGAAUUCAAGAGAGUUUCACAAUAAGUGUGCUACAAACUAGAGGAACAGAGCUUAUGAAAAGGGUGACACCUUGCAUAUUGGUUGGUCGAUCACGGUUCAUGAGCAUGCUAUUUGUAUGGUAAACUUUCAUUACUUUUUUUUUCUUUCAUAUAUAACUUAUGUAUUUUCUAUUACCUGGGUAAGUGAAGUUUGUUAACUUCAAAGUAUCAUGUCUGAUUUUAAUAUAUAACAAUUAAAUUAUUAUCAAUUUCAGGCACCAUUUUCAACUACUUAUUGUUUCCAUAUCAGAGAGUUAUUUUGUGUGGUUCUGCUCAUUGCAUAAGUCUCCUCCCAAACAUCUUAGACAAGUAAUUGAUUGGUAAGAACCUCAAUGUUUGGUCUUUCUUUGUUAUAUAAAUGAAUGCUAAAGCCUUCUGUUUUUAAUAGUUCCAUUACAACACGUAUGAUGUUUUCUGGGAGAUCAACUACUAACGGUAAAAAGCUUACAUGGUUGACUCUUUAGGUUUGACAUAUGCUAAAGCCACACUUUCUUAUAGUUGUUUUUGUUGGAAAAAGAAUGGCUUAGUUUCGACACCAAGAGGGGGGAUAAAUUGAUGAGGUUAAAAAAUCAGAGUUUUUUUCAAAUCUUUUUCGCAAAAUAUAAACCUUUCAAAAGUUUCAUGAAUCUAAAAAAAAAGAUAAGUCAGUAUAGCGGAAAAAUAAAGUUGGUUGUACAGAAAGUAAAGUUGACUUAAAGUAAAAAGUUCAGGGAUAGAGAAAAUCAAACACAAUUUUUAUACUGGCUCGGCCAAACUGCUUACAUUUAGUGUCCUUCCUGUACUGGGUAGAAAAUGCACUAUAAUGGUCAAGGUUUUUACAACAAGGUUUCUAUAGAGAUCUCAACGUCAAAAUAUAAAAGUUAAAACAAUUAGUAGCAGUCAAACCAACCAAAUUGAUUACACAUCAAAUUCAGUUGACUUGCAAUAAAUGCUUGAACACAAAAUCAAAAUAUAGUCGUUAUGGUUCACAAGCAUUAAUAGAAUUUCAAAACGUAACUAACUAAGUCAAAUUCCCUACACAUGCAGUCAACUAUGUCACUUCGAUUUAGUUUUGAAAAUCUUUUUAUUGCAAAAUUACUCACAACACUGUUUUAGAAAAUCUGUGCAAAGUCACGAGUUUUAAUCGACUUACUUCAUAAUGAAGUCGACUUAAAACUUGCAAUUUUGCCACACAAUAUAAGUUGAACUAAGUGCAUGUGGUUUUCUUUUCUAAAACAUAUGUUAUGCAAUCACAAAUGAUAUAUCAUGUAGAAAAAGACAAUGAAUAUGCAUACAUAUACAAAAUCAACACAAACAUGUUCUUCAAGAAUACAUACACAAGUAAAGAUUUGAACAUGUAACACAUAUGAAUACAUGUGUUGUGAUCAUAAAAAACCAGAACACUAUGAGAUUAAGGUUUAGCUAAACCAGUGCUUCCCUUAUAAACAAUCUCAACAGUUUUGUUUUAAUUAUUUUCACUAACUGUUUACAACUAUGAUGAUAUAUUGUAGUGUCAUACACAAAGUGGGUCAUAUGAGUGCGGAUACUACGUAAUGUAUUUGAUGGCACACACUACUCAUGCCCAUAUUAGAAGUGGUUGAAACGGUAAUAUUUAAAUUUAAUGAAUUUUUAGUUUCUCCAUCAUUUGGAAUUCAUAUACACUAAUUAAUAUCAUGUGUCUUGGGAAGAGAUUCAAGACUCCUACUCUACUUCCUGAGAAGCCACUUACAUUCUUAAGGAAGGAACUUGCAAAACAUUUAAUUAGAUUAUACAAUAGUUCAUAGUUAUUAGGAUUUAAAAUACAUUAGCACAUGUUGAUUUAUAGUUAUUAGACUUUGUACAUUAUGCUUUAAACAUUAUGUGUUGUAAAUAUUGAUUAUGUGUUGAUUCUAUGUUGUAUAUAUUGUGUUUUAUAUGCAGGUUUACUUUUGUGAUAGUGGAUAUCACAAAAACAAACCUGCUAUUAACAAAAAUUCCAAGAGAAUAGGCCUCGGUUAUGGCCAAAACCGAGGUAGAAAGCCUAUCUAUGGCCUCGGUUCAGCCACAACCGAUGCCAUAGGGUGGACAUGAUUUUUAAGAAAAAUAAAGGGCUUUGGCAUCAGUUCUAGCUUAAACCGUUGUAAUAGGCCCAUGUUAUUACCUCGGUUGAACCAAGGUAAUAAUUGUUGCCAUAGGCCCACGUUAUUACCUCCCGCCCCCUUCACCUCUUUUUUUCUUUCUUACUACAUCGGGUGCAGAAGAACCGAAGCAGCAUCCUUUAGGAUAUUACCUCUGUUUAAGCCGAGACCAAAAGUCCCUCACAUUUCUACCUUGCCAGUAAAGGCCUCGGUUCGAAAACCGAAGUGUAUUGUCAACAACAACCAUUGUCGUUUCACUUUGCUGCAUUAGUGUAUUCAUAAUUGUUGGCUCUCUCACAUGAAAAAAAUUAACUUAACAAAAACUAUUUGUAUUGGAAUGUGGAGGGACAAAUAAAAAAGAAAACCAAAAGUUAAUUUCUAAUUUACUUUUUUAAAUUAAUAAAUAACUCACUAAGAUUAUUCUAUUUCCAAUGAAGUAGUAAUUUCUACUGUGGAAUCAGUACAUAACCCCGUAGAAGAUAAAUUUUUGUUAAGCAUCUCUCUUUGAACAUAGAAUGCUGGUCUUUUAGGUAAAGACAUUAUUUCACUCUUGUUUGUCAACAUUGAUAUAACAUUCAACAUUGUUGGUCGAUCAUUUGCAUAUUGUUCAACACAUAGGAGACCAACAUGAAUACACCUCUGCACUUCGUCAUAAUCAAAUGACUCCUUUAAUGAUGGAUCCACUAAUUCAAAACACUUGUCAUCUUUCCAUAAUUCCCAUACCUACAAGUAUUUUAGAAAUUAGACACAAAACAUCAUGCCAAAAAGCAAAUUCAAUAGCUUAUUUUACAUACAUGUCCUAUUAGAUUUAUUGGGUGGUCAUGAUCAUAAAAACUAGUGUUUCUUCGUCCAUUAACUAUUUCAAGCAACAAUACUCCAAAGCUGUAGACAUCAGACUUUGUAGAAAAAACUCCUUCCAUAGCAUAUUCUGGAGACAUAUAACCACUGUAGGAAAUAUUACGUUCAAGAUAAAUUUUAGUUAUACAUUAAUACAAAAUAAAUAUAACAAAGGGUUAAGCAAGCUCACUAUGUCCCAACAACCCUGUUCGUAUUUGAUACCGAUUCUUGUUGGGUAAACAUUCUAGCCAUUCCAAAAUCUGAAAUUUUUGGAUUCAUAUUCUCAUCUAGAAGUAUGUUACUAGCUUUCAAGUCUCUGUGAAUGACUUUGAGUCUUGAGUAUUUGUGAAGAUACAAUAAUCCUUGAGCAAUUCCUUGUAUUAUGUUGAAGCGUUUAUUCCAAUCUAAUAAUUUUCUUCGUGUACAAUCUUCUCCAUAGUCAUAUAAUAAUGAUAGAUAUGCGUUAGAAUGUAUACUAUACAAAAGUAAAAAGCAAAGGUGUAACUUUUCUUCAGGAUGUUCUACAUAGGAAAACAUGAGUAAUUAAUAGUAAAUAUAUCAUAAAAAAAAUUGUAGUUGAGGAAAAUUAAUCUUAAAACCCACAUGUGUUUGGAUAGAUGCAUAAUAAUGAUAAUAUUAACACAUUGCUCACCGAAAAGAUAGAAAUCCAAGCUUUUGUUGGGCAUAUACUCGUAAAUUAGAAUCUUCUCUUCUUCAUGAAUGCAACAACCAAGUAAUUGAACAAGAUUCAUAUGCUGAAGUUCACAUAUAAGUGUUACUUCGUUUUUAAAUUCCACACUUCCUUGUGUUGAACUUUUUGAAAGUCUUUUUAUAGCCACCUCUUCUCCUGUUGGCAAAGUUCCCUAAUAAAAUGAGAUAAAAAGAGGUCAUGAAUACUCAAAACAAAAUUAACAAUACAUAAACUUAAUAAUUUCAAUCACCUUAUAAACUGGGCCAAAACCUCCCUGUCCUAACUUAUUUUCGUAUGAAAAUCCAUUUGAGGCUGCCAAAACCAAUGCAUAAUCGAAUACUUUCAAACCAUGUCCCUUUUUCAAAUCAUUUUCAAAAUCUUCGAUUUGAGAUAAUUUCAUCGCCAUUUCUUUCCGUUUCUUCUCUGUUCAGAUGAAAAUAAGGAAUACUAAAAUAUAAAAAAAUAAUUAAAAGUUUGUUUUUAAUAUGGAGUUUGAAUUCAAUUACCUUGAAGCACAUGUUUUCGUUUCUUUAUGGCUAGGAAUAGAAUGGAGCUGCAUAUUACCAGUAAAGUGGCUGCCACUGUACUUAUCCAUAUCCACCUUUUUGUACCUGCAUCCAAUAAUUACAAUUCUUCAAGUAUCAAUUAUAAAUUUUAUGGCUUUAUACUUUUUCAAAAGCCGUUGUUAAUCGUUGCAGUAAAAUGACUGUAUUGCGUUUAUAUUUGGAGUUCAAAGACUAUUAGAGAAAAUUUUCAGCAACAAAGAAAUUCUCAAAACCUAUUCAUAGUCUAUGCAAUUUAUAUCAUUGGAAUCUUUAUUGUAUAUAUUUUAGAGUAAAACUUCUUUUUUUCUACGAAAAAUGAAAUGAAGUUAGCAUUAGACCAACCGUGAUGAUGAGGGGUAAAUGUUGUCUUUGCUGUAUAUAUGUUCCCUGUGUUCUCCAGUAUGUAAAAGUCUUCACCGGAAACACUGCCGUCAACUAUAAUAUCUUUCGAUGAAUUCCAACGAUAGAAUCUACAUCCAGUUCCAUCAAGAUACACUUCUUUGAAUCCAUUGCAAUUGCAAUCGCUCCAGCAAGCAGCCUCACAAUCACUGUGACUAAUAUUCUGAUUUUGGUCAUAGGUUACAUUUUCAUAAUUUGAGCGAAGACUCUUUUUGGUGAACACAUCACCAGGACUCCUGCACUUAGGAGUAUGCUGCCAUCUUUGGCACCCUCCUUCUGUGUUGUUGUAUCCAAAACACAGAUCAGCCCUUGCAACAUAUCCGUUUCCGUUGUAAAGUAACCGGCCACUAUACGAUAGGGUCCACCAACUUAUGAGGUUUUCGUUUGUAGAAGUGAAAGAGAAUGAAUCCUCUUCCUCAUUAGACACUAUGUUGUACUUCAACAAACGUUGUGCAUCUUCUGGAAUGUGCUCAAAUUUAUUGUUCUUCAUUUUUCCACUUUUCCAACAAACUUUUCCUCGUCUUCUGAUGAUCAGUUCUUGUUCCUUCGGAUCCCAUUCAAACCUAAAGGCACCUGCAGUCGCACGCGAAUCAGUCAACUGUGAAACAAGUGACCAAUUAUGGCCUGUUUUGUGAUUAAUUCCUAACUUCAUGAUGGGGAUCAAAGUAUCAGUGGGAUAAUCAAAACUCUGCCACAGAAGAAUGUUUGUGCCAUUGGGGUGAAGUUGUUGAAGCACAAAAUUGCCUGUGUCGAGCAAAGUGGCCACAGUGUUGUUGAUAGGUUGAGCAGGAGAAUAGAGAAUAAUUGGUUUCUUGACACGUCGAGAUUCUAUCUUCAGCACGCCAGAGAAGUUUAGGGAUAGAACUACAUCCCUCUGGCCGACAGGUUGUUCUCUGUUAGCUUCCCAGACUACAUCAUGUUCAUUGAAGACUGCCAAAUAAGUAAAAUCUUCGAUUUCACCCGGAAUUCCAACCGGAUAAAAUUCAAUAAAAUAUCUGCGAUUCUUGGAAAAUAGUAAUGGUGAAUCAAAAUUAAAUGUAUCACCGGGCCUUAAACUUUCAUCUGCUGGGUGAACAUGAACAGAAGAACUCCAGCACAACCACAAAACAAGCAGUAGUUUGUGUAGAAUAAGACUCAUGGAAUACUUUAAAAUAUAUGGGAAGACAAAUCAGCAAGAGGACGGUUUGCCAAGGAAUGGCAGUGAUAUAUAUAUAUAUAUAUAUAUAUAUAUUAAAAUACAUAUCUAAAAAUUUUAAACAUAACAGACGAAUACAUUAAAAUGUUAUAACAGUAUAAAAAAAUAUUUGCUAAGACACGAUUUGACUAGUACAUGCAUGGGACAAUAUAUUUUUUCCUUGGUUCUGACAGUGUUAUAUGUGCUUAAAAUAAAUGCUUAUUAAUUAUCCUCAUUUCAGCUCAAGAUUACACAGAACAUUUUAGAAUUUUCUCUAUAACUUGAAUUCUAAAUAUGCACAUGUUGGGAAAAUAAAGAAAAGACCCUUUAGUAAAAGAGAAGCAUCAGUUUUCUUUACUAAAAUAAUUGAAAAAGUGUGGAUAAGAUGAUUACUAGUUGUCAGAUUAUUUUGGACAACUGUACAUUAACACGCUCACUUGGCGAAAAGAUAAUGAUAUUUAAACAAUAUUUUUUUGACAACAUUUAAAUAUCAUCUAUGUGUCAUUUUGUGGUUGGUCCAUGUUACAAUUUAUAAUUAUUAUUAUUGAUUAUGAAGUAAUUUUAGACUAAUCAUAGAAUGACACAUAGACGAUAUUUAAAUAUUGUCAAAAAAAUAUUAUUCAAAUAUCAUUAUCCUAAAAAUAAAGUGGAAUUCACCGUAUCGUGUGAAUAUUUUUUUAAGGGUUGUGUUAAAGUAACUUUUUUCUUCUAUUUUUGAAAGUAAAACUUUCAUUAACACUUCAAAAAUUAAAAAAAAAAUUGUUAGUUUCGUACAAGUUAAAAUUAUCUCGUAAAUAAAUUAAUAAUUAUAUUUUAACAAAUUAAUAAAAAUAAGUUUACAAAUAUAUAAAUUAAUUUUAAUUUUUAAACGGAUUAAUUUAUUUAUUCUCAAAACGCUUUUAUAAAAUGUUUGCGCAUGAUACACGAUAUAAAGGGAAACGCAUUAACAAUGGCCGACAAAACUUUUAUUUUAAUGGGACUUACACUUUCUCAUUUCCUUUUGGUUUGUUUUGAGUGAUCUCUUGUCUUCCAUGAUUGAAGUUUAAAAGAUAACGAGUAUCAUUUUAGCAUGGACAAGUUUAACACUUUAUUUUCUCACAAUAGAAAAUUGACUUGAUAUUUAUUAGAUGUCCAUUAUCGUUUUGAAUGUUUACGAUAAAAGGAACUUUAAAGGCUUAAAUAUAUGUUUUUGUUUAUAACUUUACAAAUAUGUAAUUUACUUUUCUUAAAUCUAACUAUACAUUUUCAUUGAUGGUCAACAUAUACAACUUAAUUUGCUAUGCUAAAGUCUUUUUACAUGUGUUAAAAUGACUUAUUAUAUGAAUUUUCAAACCCAUAUAGAAAUAAAGAUAUAAAAAGUAUUUGACUUUUAAAUCAGUUGUACAAUCAGUACAAAGAGUCAACUUUAUAUAUCGAUUUUGAAAUAAUAUGGAAAGUUUGUUAAGGAUGGAAAAAAUAUCAAUGAGGUAAGCUUUUUAUACAUGUUGUCAGUAUAACCGGUAUAAAAAGUAACACUUUUUAUUCCAAUUAGAACUAUAACUAGUAUAAACGUCUUACUUUUUAUACUAGUUAUAACAAUUACCGAUAUAAAGAGUAACUUUCAAUACUGGUUAAGGCAAUAACUAUAUAAAAAGUGAUGUUUUUUUUUCAAUAGUAGAUUUGUAUCUACUACCAUCUAUAUAUAGACUUGCAUAAAUUUCAGUCCUAGAAUAGAUAAAUAUCCCAUAAUACAAUCCAUUAGAUAUACACAAAAACCAAAAUAUAAUCAAUGUACUUCCUAUUAUUCACAAAUCAAUAUAAUGACAUUGUUGGAACAUACAUGAAGGGGGUUGAAUAGUGUUAUGGAAAAAAAUUUCGCAAAUGAAAGUUUAACAACCUUGGUGAUGAUUAGAUGAUCUACAUAGGUUGUUAGACGUUUGAUUUAUGAGGCAGUUUUUAAACCAGAACGUUCAAAGAUAGUGUUUUUCAAGUGUUUAGCAAAACUACUAUAGCUUUUAAGAAAGAUAACUCUUAAGAAAAUAAAGUCUUAUGACAAGAGGUUUAUUAAUAGUUAACUUCCCAAGAAACUGUAGUGUUUAUAAAUAAGAUAUUUUGUGACGCUAAAGACAUAUCAACACAAAUAUUUUUAUACCAGUUCAUUCAACUAAGCUAUGUCUAGUUUUCCUUUAAGACCUUUUAGAAGGUUCCAUUAUAAUCUCAACAAGAUUACAACUAAGUUUUAGCACCACUCCUAGUUACACUAGUGAGUCUUAAUGACACCUGUUACGCUAACUAGAACUGUGUAUUAGCACCACUCAUUAUUACACUAGUCAGUCUUCGUAACACUUGUUACGUUGAUUAGAACUGAGUUUACCCACUUUUUGUUUUCGCUAGACAAUUUUUAAGUGGGCAUUUAAAUCAACUGAGUUAACCACCAAGUGUUUGAAUUCUCUUGAGAAUGUAUAAUCAAUAAGAUGUUUACAAGUCUUAAAUGAGGAUGUGUUUACAAUACAACUCAAUCUAAUAGACCUUGUAGGAUUUUCUCUCUUCUUACAAAUGUAAGUUUAUGACUCUAUUGUUCUUGCUUUCCCUCAAGCCUUAGAGGAUAUUGAUCCUCUCAUAGCCAUGGUUAAGAAGAUGGAAGAGGAAGAUGGUGUUGAGAUUGUUGACAACACUAUGCUUAAUAACAGUACACAUGUUGUAUUACAUGUUCUUAUUCUGAACUGAUUGUUAUAUCUGUUGAACAUGUUUUGAUGUACUGAGAUGUAUGUUCCUAUGUUGAUUGUGUGUUAUAUUUGUGGAACAUGCUUGUACGAUUAUGUGCAAUAUGAACUACUUUAUCAAAAAUAUUUUACUGCACAAUUUUGGAAGUGAAAAAUCACAAGCACGUUUAUGAACUUAUAAUUGUGUGACAAAGUUCUAGUCCACUCGAAUACAUCUGUAAUGGAUUCGACUAUUCUAAAACCUUUGUACAAAUUUUGAGAAUCAGUGCUCUAUGAUGUUUUGGAUUGAAAAGAAUUUCAAAAUGUUUUAACAUAUGUCAGUCGACUUUGUCUAGUGUACAUUCGACUGUAUCUUUGAUCUGUUUUGGAAUUUUGUUAUGCUUACAUGCUCCAACGAUUAUAUUUUUGAAAGGUAGUUAAGCAUUGCUGACUUGGUCAACUGUAAUGAAUGUGUUGAUUUUUGUUGAAUGAGAACCUCCAUGUUGACUGUCAGUUAUAACUAUAAUAAUACAGUCGAUUGAAUUAGUAGGCUAUUGGACUAAGAAACAAUCUGACUGACAAAAAACUAUAAAUUGGCUGAACACGAGUUGUUCAGGGACUUUUGACACUCUGACAUUUUCAUUUCUUGUUUCAGUUUGAAUUCUCCAAGAAGACGGUGGUGAUCUAUCUUUAGAGAGAUUCAAAAGGAGAAGGCUUAUGCGCUGACUGUGUGUUCAUUAUCUGCACAAAGAAGGUGCUUCUUGAUUGAUCAUUGAAGGCUUGGCAUCCUGUGAAGACUGUUGCGUUGAUUGAAGGCUUGACAUCCUGUGAAAAGUGCUGGAAUUGACUUGUUGUGAUAUAGGGGUUACACGUUGAGGAUUGCUCGACGUGGGUUCAGAUUGCAGAAGAGGGGAUUCUUGCAGCUAUACUUUGGUUUUAGGUUAGAGAGGAGAUUUAUAUUUUUGACGUGAGGUCUUCUAUAAAUUCCUUGUUGUAAAAACUGCAACCAUUAUAGUGCAUUUGCUUCCUGGGUUGGAAGGACACUAGAUGUAGGCAUUGUAGGCCGAACCAGUAUAAAAACCAGUGUUUGAUUUUCUCUAUCCCUACACUCUUUAUUUCAGUCGACUAUAUCUAUUACACAAUCAACUACGUUUUUCCGCUGCAUAGAAAUUUUCAUUACUUGCAUUUCAAGAAAGAUAAAAAAACCUUAUACUUUUGUUUAAAGAUUGCGAAAAGAUUUUGUUUUUGAACUAACACCAAUUCACCCCCCCUCUUAGGUAGUUAAAGGGAAGGGUCUCAUUCUUCCCCCUUUGCCAUACGAAUUGUUGGAAAAAGGUUGGCUUCGUUUCAACACCAAGAGGGGGGUGAAUUGGUGAGGUUUCAAAAUCAAAGUGUUUUUGAAAUCUUUUUCACAAAGUAAAAACCUUUACAAAAUUUCUUGAAUCACAAGGAAUGAAAAUUCUAAGUGCAGUGGAAAUACAAAGUUGACUACGUAAACAAGUAAGUCGACUCAAUGUAAAAGUGUAAGGAUAGAGAAAUCAAAUGCAAAUUUUUAUACUGGUUUGACCUCAAUGCCUACAUCCUGUGUCCUUCCAUAAUCCGGAAGCAAUUGCACUAUAAUGGUCAAGGUUUUUACAACAAGGCUUUUAUAGAGACCUCCACGUCAAAAAUAUAAAACACCUCUUUAACCCUCUAACCAAAAUAUAGGCAGUACACACAAAGAUCUGCAAUAAGAUAUCCCUUCUUUUGCAAUCUUUAAACCCAGUCAAAGUUUCCAGACUCCACGAGUCAACCUCCUGUAAUCACAACAGGAAAAACCAAUCUUCAGUAGAUUGAAGGCAGUCUUGAUCAACAAGAAUACACCAGUAGUGUAGAAUCUGAUCAAACAGUAAGCGCAAUACACGUCUCCUUCAAAGAACCUCCUCAAAGAUAGAUCAUCACGGUCUUCUUGAUGAGUUCUUGGAGCAAAUUCUUAGAGAUCACAAUCUGUAAAUCAAAAUGAAAGUGUUAAAAUGUCCAAAAUCUUCUAUGAUCAACUAAGUCACGUCUAUUUAUAGUUUUCUAUAAAUCAGGCGCUCCUGUAGUCGACUAUGCUACUAAUAAAGUCGAUUGUCAUCAGACAAUUAUAACAGUUAAGUCAAAUAGUAGCAGUCAACAACAACCAAAUUGAUUUUUCAUUUGAUACAGUUGACUAUCAUAAAUAUUCUAACAAGUUUUUGAAAUAUAGCCGUUACUGUACACAAGCAUUAACAGAAUUUCAAAUCAAAUAACUAACUAAGUGGGAUCCAGUACGCAUGUAGUCGACUUAGGCACAUCAGCUUAGUUUGAAAAACAUUUCAAUGUUAAAUCACUCACAGCACUGCUUUUGAAAAUUUGUGCAUAGUCACUAGUUUUAAUCGACUUUCUUCAUAAUGAAGUCCACUUAAAAUUUCUAGUUAUGCCACACAAUAUAAGUUCAUAAAAGUGCAUGUGGUUUUCUCUUCAAAACAUAUGUAAUGCAAUCAUAAAUGAUGUAUCAGAUAUAAGCUCAGUAAGUGUGCAUUCAUAUAUCAAGAUCAACACAAACCUGUUCAAUAAGAUAUCAUCCACGAUGAGGAAUAGAACAUGUGUUACAAUACAUGUGUUAUUAAUAAUGUGUUGUCAUCAUAAAAAACCAGAGUGACUAGAACACUGUGAGAUUAAGGUUAGCUAAACCAGUGCUUCCCUUAUCAACAAUCUCCCCUCUUUUUUAUGAUGCACAAUGAUGGCAUACCCCUUGCCAUGACCAAGCACAUUCAUGAAGAGUUGGAGACAUCUAUGAAAGAUGGGCCUAAACUCUUUCUCUUGGGCCAUCUUACGUCAUCAUGAAGAUUUAGUAGAGUAAUAAUAAUUUUGGGCCUUGUAUUUUGGGCCAAGUAGUCUAGAUUUUAUUUGGGCUUGGUAUUAUGGGCCUAGUAGUGUAGGAUUUCAAUUGGGCCUUGUAUUUUGGGCCAAGUAGAAUAAGAUUUUGACCAAACAAGUCAAAGAAGGUUCAAGGCCCAAAGUUCACUAUGCUUGGACCUCCAAAAUGGGUGUGUUGACCAAGGGGUCAACAUUUUGGCUAAGCUUGGAGAACAAUGGAGAAAAAUUUCGUCCUAGAAAUGUUGAAGCUUCCUGUUGGGGAGUUUUCCUCCUAGUUAGUGGCCAUGUGUCACUCUAGGAAUGGAGAGUUUUUCCAUAGGUAGUGGCCACAUGUCACUCUUUCAUUUGAGAGGAUUUUUGCCACAUGUCUCCCUCCUAUUAGAGAGGAUUUCUCCUUGCUCUCCAACACAACCAAGGUGACUCUUUUAGGUUAAAGUUUUAGCCCAUUUUGAGACAUCUUAGCCUAUAAAUAGAUGUGUUCUCCAUCAUGUAAUCACCUUUGAUUUAGAGUAAAGUUAUGCUGCCAUUUUUGUGCCAUACUACUCUUUAAAGGUCACCCUAGGCUAGAGCAACCCAAGUGGCCUCCUCUAGCCACCUUCCUCCUAGAGUUAGACCAACCUCUCUUAGAGAACCACCAAACACACCUUCCAUCACCAUACAACUCAUCAAAACCAUGAGCUAUCAACACCUUUCACCACCACCGAAUUCCGCAAUCUUCAUCCAUGAACUUAUGGCUUGAUUUGCUUCUAGAUUUGGCUUGUCUUAGCUAGAGCAUUUUUUUUUUUGCUAUCACACAACCAUGAUUAAUAAGCAACCAUGUUUGUACACAAACAGCUCAUAAACAGUCAAUUAAUCACUAGAAAUAAGAGCAAAUAUAAGCAAUCAGUAGGUACAAGUGAUUAAAUGAUCUUUCUAGUAUAAUAGAGCAUUUUCCAGUAUAUCAGAGCACAUAAAAGAUGAUUCCAACAUAUAUUUCAGCUCAAUUACUCUAAAUAAAAUAGUAUCAAGCAAACAAUCACAUAUCAAGCAAUUAAGCAUAUUAAUUUAACUUUUCAUAUAUCUCUCCCCCUUUUUGCAUUAGCAAAAAAGGAUUGGUUUCAGAUAUGGAUAUGCUGAUAACAUGAAAUUCUAGAGAUGCAUGAGUGUUAAACAAUGUAAAUAGUUUAAACAUUCAGACAUGCUCCCCCUAUCACAGAUAUUCACAUGAAAUAGAUGUACUCCCCCUAGAAUGUAGGCAUGUGAAAAAUCUAUGCAAUUAAGUAAUGCCCCCUGUCAUUAUGCAUAUGAUAAAAUCAGAUUUAAAUGCACAAUGCAGUUACACAAAUAUCAGAGCAGACAAUCAGUUUGUAUCAAGAUUGUCUCAGUGUUACGAUUGCAAGCAAUUCAAUGAAGCAAAGAUACAACUAUCAACAAUCUCACAAUAAAAUCUCAUUGCAAAACAGUCAUAUAAGAAUAGAGAUAUAUUGAAGAAAACUGAUAUAAAAAUGAUCAAGCAACUUAAUAAGCAAAUUCCAAAAUGGAAUUUGUAAACCCUUGUAAGUGAUAACUCGAUUUGACCAUUUGUUGAGUCGAUUUCAUUGCUUCUCAAACAGUUUUGAUCCAGCAGUAAGUUUCAAAGCAAUGUUUCCUGCAAAACCUUUCAAAGUCGUUUGAAGACCAAGCACUUUAGAAUCACACUAAUGCAAGAAAAUUAAAACAGAUAAGAAGUGAAUAUGCAAAACAGUUAAUGUAACAGUGCGUAUAUGAGAAAUGCAGUAUAACUAGGAAGUGACUCCUAGGUCGUCUCUCAAGGACCAAACUGUGAUUCGAGAAUUAGGUCAAACACGAAGUGUGGGGGUUUGUGAAAAUGUUGUGGUGAAUGCGGAUGAACUAAAUCAAAACACGAAUGCAAACAGAAAGGUAAAAGGAAAUGUAAAAACGGAAUGUGAAAAUGGUUGGUCAUUAACUCAAUCACUAUGCUUUCAAUCACAGAUUAACGACAAAUACAUACUACUCUAAUCCAAAUCCGACACGAAUCAGCCAACUAAGCGGAGGCUAAUUCGGUCUUCAAAAUUGCAAACUAAGCGAAUGCAAUGCACAAAUCUAAUCAGUCAUGCACCAUACAGUCUAAUCAACUAAGCGAAGAUUAAACACCGAGUAGGCAACUAAACGUAUACCUAAUCGCAAGCACAUAACAGAUUAAAUAUUGAGCAGAAUCAGAGCAGUAGUUAUGGCCAUUAAAGUGCAAUAAUCUCAAGGAAACAAAGUAAUAUCGCUAAUGACCAAUCCAAAUUAACCUAAGCUAACAUGAAAAUUAAAUUAGAGAAAACUUGUGUAACUCACUUGAAAAGCAAUUUCAACUGGAAAAUCACAAAAUCCAUCUUAUGGUAUUUAGUUGUAACGCAUGAACAAAGGGGAAAUAUUCAAACAAAAUUAAAUGCAACAACUAGACUAAUAAAAGAAAGACAUAGUAUAGUCAUCUAGAUGAAUAACAUCAACUACGAAACAACUAAAAAAAUAUAAAAAGCAUGAACAGGAAAAUAAUAUGUAAAAGCAACGAAUAAGCUAAAGGGUGAAAGGCACAUUGCAGCUUUGAAAUGAAUUAUCUAAUGCAAAAGAAAUUGUACGCACAAAAUUAGCAAUGCAUGUAAUAUGAAAUUAGCGUGUUUAAAAUAAACACUAAAAGCAAAAUCCAUUGCCUUUGUUAAUCACCGUGCACAUAAAUGCAUUUGCAUAUUUUUUUAAGCUAAAUAAAUCACAACCUCUUUCUCCAAGAAAACCAAGUGGUAACUAAAUGUGUGGUAGCUGCACCUCUGGAUGUAAAUCAUCGAAUAAAAAAAAUUAAAGUUGAAAGGAGCUACAAUGAACCAAAUGAGAACACCAAUUGAACAUUGAAAAGCAGUGUGCACCACUCAAACUCAAUGCAAGCAAAAUAAACAAAAAGGAAGGUUUGCUUUAAUUCAUCCAUAAUAAAAAAUCUCAGACAUGGUUACAAAUCAAGAGCUCCCUCCAAAGUUUGAAAGCUAAGUGCCCCCCCUAGAAGUUUGACGGUUGGUACUAGGAAUCGCUCUUAGGGUAACGUGCAUUUUUAAAUGGUGUUCCCUUCAAUUUUGAUCAAUCUGCUGUAGCGUGUAGUCCAGGCCCUGAUAUCAAGUUGUUGGACUUUGCUUUUCUAGACACACCUCUCAAGCAGCUGAGUAUUUUUUUUUUUGCUGGGUCGUGGACGUGCAUUUGUCCAAGCUGCCGAAGUGUAAAGCUUUCUUUCGGUCGUGCUGGAGCUCUUUCAACACGUUUCUGCCUCUGUUGGACAUUGGACUGGAAGCUGCUAGAUGAGCAGCCCAAGCUGCUGGAAUGUGGAAAUGGAUAGGCUGCAGCUCUUCUGCUGUUGGGCUAUUGUGCACUUUCUACUACCAUGGUGAAGUCCUCCUUCAAAGCUGCUGCAUGAAGCGUGGAUGCCUCUCCUUGCUGGCCAUGACCAAGACUUGGUCCGUGAUGCAGAUGUGGAGCUGCUGCUGUUGUGUGCGGUCCGUGUAGAGGUCUGCCAGCGUGCUCCUGGACGUACAACACCUUUUCAAUUGAAGUUGGACUUCUUGUGUUUUAAAACUCCCAAGAUGCUAGACACUUCUGAAUUAGAUAUCCAAUUAUAGCUUAUUUUCUUUAUCUAAGAAAGCCAAAUAAAUGCAACGUUGUCUUUUCAGCCCCAAGUAAAAUAAACGUGUUGCAGCCCUCAAAUGAAGAUUAAAAAAAAAAUGUUGUGGGCUGCUUCUAUUUUUUAUGGGCCGUGACCAUCCAACCUCCUAGCUGGACCGUGGAUCUCCAUACUAGCAAUUGAAAAUAGGAUGUGUUUUUCCUAAAGUAAUUAAAUCACCGCAUACUUUGUGCUAGCAAAUUAAAAUAGUGCGAGAGCGUAUUUUUCACAGUGCAUGACGAAUCAAUACAUGCUUUUUAUUACAGACGUUUUUGCUUCCUCUAAAUGUCCCAAAUUGUAUUUCCAAAAUUUUCCUUGAAUUAAUAUGUAAAUAAUUAGCUCAGAAUAUUCAAAUUAAUUAAAAUAAGAAUUUUCGAUCAAAAUAAGCACAAUCAGCAGAAAUGGGAAAAUGUCAGACAUUUAAGCACAAUUCCAUGAUUAAAUCUGGUACAAUAAACUAAGUGUAGUUAAUAAAAUAUCGACUCAUCAGUAAUGCAAGAAAAUUAAAAGAGAUAAGAAGUGAAUAAGCAAAACAGUUAAUGUAACAGUGAGUAUGUGCAUAGUCAACUUCAAUAAUUAAAAAGUUGAUUCACUAUUCAUUUUAUACUACUAUAAUUAAAAAGUUGAUUAGACUGUCAAAAGACACAAAUCUUGCCCUUCCAGAAACCACAAAAGAUGAUUACCACGAUCUUCUUUUUAAUUCUUGGAGCACUAAUCUGAAAGAAAUCACAAAAAUCUUUAGAAGCACAAAGCUUCUUACAAAAUUCAAAUUCGCGUCUAUUUAUAGUUUUUCAAAAUUAUGACGCUCUCAAGUCGACUUAGAUACUAAUGCAAUCGAAUGUAUCAUGACAGUUAUAUCAGUUAGUAGUAGUCAAAGCAAAUAAUUGAUUACACGAUUAAUGCAAUUGAUUGUCAUUUAAUGCUUGGUCAACCAGAUUAAAAUAUGACCAUUAGACAUGUCAAGCAUUAACAGAAUUUCAAAACAUAACAAACUUAGUCGAAUGGCUUGCGCACAUAGUCGACUUUGUAAUAGUAUAAGCAUAGUUUUGAAAAACUUUCAAUUCAAAAAAAUCUCACAACACACCUUGAAAAAGUCUGUGCAAAGACACGAGUUUUAAUCGACUUACUUCUUAAUGAAGUUGACUUAAAACUGGUUUUUUGGCACACAAUUAAAUUCAACAAAAGUGCAUGUGGUUUUCCUUUUCCAAAACAUUUGUCAUGCAUUCACAAAUAAAAUCUCAUAUAUAACAUGAUGAAUUGCAAUGAUCAUGACAGAAAAACCACAAACAUGUUCUCAUAUAAUCAUAAUCAUGAAAGCAAUGAACAUGUAACACAAUAAUCACAUGUGUUAUUAAUUAUGUGUUGUCAUCAUCAAAAACCAAAAACUCUAACAUUGUAGGUUCAGCUAAACUAAUGCUCCCCCAAUCAACAAUCUCAACAAUCUCCCCCUUUUUUGAUGAUGCACAAUCAUGAUUAAUAAACAACCAUGUUGUACAAAUCAAUGCAGAUUAUCAAUCAAAUAUCAAUCUACAUAAUUCUCCCCCUUUGGGCAUUAGCAAAAAAAGGUAUGCGCACUACUAUUGAUAUACAUAUAAUCAAUCAUUACAGAUAUGCAUCAGAUAAUCAUAAACAAAACAAACAAAGAUGUUCCCCCUGUCACAAAUAAUCACAUGAUAAAAAUGUACUCUCCCCCUUAAGUGUAGGCAUGUGAAAUAUCUAAAAGAAAUGGCAUAUGGAGUUAGCAGCCUAUAAACAACCUGUUUUCCAAGCAAGUCCUUCUGGAAGUUCACCCAAUACAGUUUAUGACCAAUAAAACCAUUAUGGGCAUAAAGAUCUGAUAACGGUUAAAAAAUUGUUAUUUUCAUACUUGAUUUUGAUAUAAAACACACCCUUUAUGACUUAGAAACUAGCUUGAAAUCAUGCAUUUUGUCUUAGUUAGGUUAUAAGAGAGUUAAAGGAGAUUUUACAGGUAUUAUGCUUGGUGUUGGGUGUUAAUAAGAAUUGAAUGAAGAAUAUUGAAGAAGGAAGGAGUUGGGUUCAAAAAAGGAUGAAAAAAGGUGCAAAUGAUGAAUCACAACUACCGUUGAGUGUUAGGCUACCGCUGAGCGCUAGGCUACCGCUGAGCGCUAGUUUCGCUGAACAGGCUCUGUCAAACGCUUAAGCGCUGAUGCUGAAGGGGGAAGAAAGAGUUGCGCUUACUGUUGAGCGCUAGAACCAACACUGAGCGCUGGUCUCUUCAGUAACAGCACUGCCAAACGCCUGAGUGUGAACGCUGAGGGUCGCACAUGAGUGUCGCACCUAAUGCUGAGCGGUGGACCCAACGCUGAGCGCUGUACUUUGGGCUUGGGCCUGUUUUUUAUAAUUUUUCACAGUUUAUAAAUAGAUUAGAGUGACCCUUAAAGGUCAUCUUUUGGCAGAAGAAGACGCAGAAACUCCCUUUCUCACCCCUUAGAGGCGACUUUUGGAUACGGAAGCUCCAUCUGAUCAAAUGUAGGGGUAUGUUUUUGUAUCUUUAAUUUAAUUCAUCUAGUUUCACCAUGAUUAUGCUGAACUAAAUCCCUUUGUUGUUGGGAAACAAUGUAGUCCUAUUUGAAACUCUCUUAUAUUGAAAUUCUUACUUUAUUCAUAUGCUUUGAUUAUCAAGUGUUUUAGUUUUUCCUCCGUAUAUAAAAUGUUUUGUUUAAGACGUUAUUCAAACACAUAAUCUAUGAUUCUUUCUAUAUGGACACGUAUAGUUAAGUCUAGACAUGAUGAAAUUCUCUUGAUAGCAAUAUUACCUAGAUAUAGGAAUAGGAGGAUCAAUUGCCUUAAGCUUUUGUACACAUUAAUGCAUGAAUAAUUUCUAGGGAGACUAGACAUAGUAAACUAGUAAUUAGGAGCAGGCUUUUUUCACACAAACAUCGGGUUUAGGGUAAUUUUGAAAGUGGCAUGAACAUUGAUAUUAAAGUUGAAUUUAGUAAGAAUAGUAGAUAUUUGAGAGUAGAUUAGGAUGAAACCGUAAACCCCAACAACAACAUUCAUCCAUAUCGUUCAACUGAUGUUGUAUCUCUUUACCACCAGGUAUAAAGUGACGGUUUUGGUGUGUAGAAAGGCACAUGUGUGUUGUCUUGAAAAUUGGAGCACAUGGACAAAAGGAGGCAACAUAAGAAUAGUUUAUUGAAGGUUGAAUUGAAGUUUGACUUUAGGAGGCUAUAUGACUCACGGCCAUGAAGGUUUUCUUGGGCCAUUUGCACUUUUAUAUUUAUUUGUUGGAUGUAUUUGGUCACAUGGAAUGUGUAGGAAAAAGUAUUUUUGAUUAUUCCUUUGCUUUUAAUUAAUUUAGUUAAUAGGUUGAGUUUAAUGUGUUUGAGUUAGUGUUGCGUUUAAUUAUUUUUAAUUGUGUUUGUUAAUUUGUUUGUAACUGUGUUUGAUGUUUGAAUGUUGUCUAAGAUUUUUAAUAGUGUUAGUCUAAUUACCAUGCUAGCUUAAAUUAGUUUGGUUGGUCAUUAACGAUAUUGCACUAUUUCCUUGAGAUUUAUUGGACUGUUCUUGUGUUUAUUCUGCUCUGCCUG
Molecule: long non-coding RNA, 29291 nt
Filed under: Vigna radiata
Lineage: Eukaryota; Viridiplantae; Streptophyta; Magnoliopsida; Fabales; Fabaceae
Description: long non-coding RNA (VRAD_LNC015019)
Source: RNAcentral